This is a long non-coding RNA of Physeter macrocephalus (sperm whale), 961 nucleotides long. RefSeq lists it as uncharacterized. NCBI's taxonomy places the organism in Eukaryota, Metazoa, Chordata, Mammalia, Artiodactyla, Physeteridae. The transcript has 3 exons. The record is from RefSeq and is a predicted model, not a curated record.
GCCGAGAACACCAGCCACAAGUCCUACCGGCCGCUCUGCGUCCUCACCUUCAAUUUUACAGAUAAAGGAAACUGAGGCACAGAGAAGGUCAGUGACUUGCCCAGCUGACACAACUAAGAAGCGUCAGGACUGCCCUCACCUGGCAUCUGGCUUCUCACUCUGGGCCCUUCACCACCACACCAGGCUGCCUCUCUGAGGAUGCUUAACUUUGAAAUCCUGUCGGCCUCAUGGGAUAGAACAGCCAGGAGGAACAUUCAAAAAAAUAUUGCAGAGAGAUUUGAGAAGAUGGCGGAAGAGUAAGACGCGGAGAUCACCUUCCUCCCCACAAAUACAUCAGAAAUACAUCUACAUGUGUAACAACUCCUACAGAACACCUACUGAACGCUGGCAGAAGACCUCGCACCUCCCAAAAGGCAAGAAACUCCCCACGUACAUGGGUAGGGCAAAAGGAAAAAGAAAAAACAGAGACAAAAGAAUAGGGAUGGGACCUGCACCAGUGGGAGGGAGCUGUGAAGGAGGAAAGGUUUCCACACACUAGAAGCCCCUUCACGGGCGGAGACUGCGGGUGGUGGAGGGGGAAUCUUCGGAGCCAUGGAGGAGAGCGCAGUAACAGGGUGCGGAGGGCAGAGCGGAGAGAUUCCCGCACAGAGAAUCGGUGCCGACCAGCACUCACCAGCCCGAGAGGCUUCCCUGCACGCUGGCCGGGGUGGGCGGGGGCUGGGAGCUGAGGCUCCGGCUUAGGUCGAAUUGCAGGGAGAGGACUGGUGGUGUGAACACAGCCUGAAGGGGUUAGUGCACCACGGCUAGCCAGGAGGGAGUCCGGGAGAAGUCUGGACCUGCCGAAGAGGCAAGAGACUUUUUCUUGCCUCUUGUUUCCUGGUGCGCGAGGAGAGGGGUUCAAGCGCGCCGCUUAAAGGAGCUCCAGAGACGGGCGUGAGCUGCGGCUGUAGGCACGGACAAC